This 889-nucleotide ribosomal RNA is filed under the name uncultured bacterium. RNAcentral's name for it is "bacterial SSU rRNA". It matches the Rfam family "Bacterial small subunit ribosomal RNA", at positions 28 to 894 of the family's 1533-position model. The record is from RNAcentral.
AACGAACGCUGGCGGCGUGCCUAACACAUGCAAGUCGAGCGAGAAAGCCCGCAAGGGUGAGUAAAGCGGCGCACGGGUGCGUAACACGUGGGUAAUCUUCCUUGGAGCCCGGAAUAACUCCCCGAAAGGGGUGCUAAUGCCGGAUGAGACCACGGGAUCUCCGGAUCCUGAGGGAAAAGGCGGCCUCUGUACACAAGCUGUCACUCCAAGAUGAGCCCGCGGCCCAUCAGCUAGUUGGCGGGGUAAUGGCCCACCAAGGCUACGACGGGUAGCUGGUCUGAGAGGACGAUCAGCCACACUGGAACUGAGACACGGUCCAGACUCCUACGGGAGGCAGCAGUGGGGAAUCUUGCGCAAUGGGCGAAAGCCUGACGCAGCAACGCCGCGUGUGUGAUGAAGGUCUUCGGAUCGUAAAGCACUGUCGGGAGGGACGAAUAAGGCGGCGGCUAAUAUCCGCAGCCGAUGACGGUACCUCCAAAGGAAGCACCGGCUAACUCUGUGCCAGCAGCCGCGGUAAUACAGAGGGUGCAAGCGUUGUUCGGAAUUAUUGGGCGUAAAGCGCGUGUAGGCGGCCUUGCAAGUUGGGUGUGAAAGCCCUCGGCUUAACCGAGGAAGUGCGCCCAAAACUACAGGGCUUGAGUACCGGAGAGGGUGGCGGAAUUCCCGGUGUAGAGGUGAGAUUCGUAGAUAUCGGGAGGAACACCAGUGGCGAAGGCGGCCACCUGGACGGAUACUGACGCUGAGACGCGAAAGCGUGGGUAGCAAACAGGAUUAGAUACCCUGGUAGUCCACGCUGUAAACGAUGAGCGCUAGGUGUUGUGGGUGUUGACCCCUGCAGUGCCGCAGCUAACGCAUUAAGCGCUCCGCCUGGGAAGUACGGCCGCAAGGC